This 918-nucleotide long non-coding RNA is filed under the name Oryctolagus cuniculus (rabbit). RNAcentral describes it as "lncRNA (ENSOCUG00000031836.1)". The record is from RNAcentral. Lineage: Eukaryota; Metazoa; Chordata; Mammalia; Lagomorpha; Leporidae.
GCCCAAGCAGCGCCAUGGCGAUGGAGUGUAGGAAGUUUGCUUAUUCUGAGCAGAAGCAGCCUAUGGGAUGUCACGUUCUCUUCUCACCAACUGUGUGCUUGUGGAAGCGGGGUGACCUCAAGCCUGGAGCCGGGGAGUUACAGGAGUCUUGAUUUGUGGUUCCAGAAGCUGGUGAGGUCCGGGCUACACCGUGCAGUAAGAGUUUCGGCAGGGAGUUUCUCCGUCUUCAGUUACCCGAGGCCACCAGCAGCAGCUCACAUACCAGGGCACCACAGAAUCCCUUCUAAAUUAUUGUCCUCUGAUACAGCAGUCCUUAACCUGCUUACCAGCAGGCAGCCAGCGUUGGAAACCUUUCCAGUGAGCACAGGAAGAGUCAAGCUAGCUUUUUUUUAUAAGUUUUCUCAGGCUGCUAAAAAUAUAUUCCAGCAUAUGAAGAAAUAUUUCAUAUCUGUCAGUGGUCCUCCCUUCUCUGGUAUUAAUUUCUAGUUGAGGGGGGUUCUGUGGUGUCAUAUAACAGAAGCUGUAGAUAAUUUGCUCAGAGGAGAAUUCACUGGGAAGAUGCGAGUGUCUUUGGUAGAAAGCUGGGAAGGCCAGACAGUCCUAGGGGACCUGCUACCGGAGCUCUGGCAACGAUGCCCCAGGAGGAACACCUGGACCUCAGCAUGACCAGUGGGAAACUCGACCAUUUGUCACCUUGUUCGUCUGCUAGCACUCAAUGCAAUAAGGAUCCAGUGGCGCUGUUUGGAUCCUGGCCUUGUCCCUGACAAGCAAACAAGGCUGCUGAUGGACAGUUUCACCAGACCCCUGCCAAGGGAAAAGGCACUUCCUCGGAAGGCAUUACGGAUGCUCUUGGGAAUGGAAGCUGGGAAGCUAAAAACAGAAGACCAAUAUUAAUAAAAUGGCCUAACUUCCAUGGCA